RNAcentral lists this ribosomal RNA (261 nucleotides) under uncultured archaeon. Its description in RNAcentral is "partial 16S ribosomal RNA". It matches the Rfam family "Archaeal small subunit ribosomal RNA", at positions 748 to 1008 of the family's 1478-position model. The record is from RNAcentral.
CAGCCGUAAACUAUGCGCGUUAGGUGUAUCGGUGACCACGAGUCACCGAGGUGCCGAAGGGAAACCGUGAAACGUGCCGCCUGGGAAGUACGGUCGCAAGGCUGAAACUUAAAGGAAUUGGCGGGGGAGCACAACAACGGGUGGAGCCUGCGGUUUAAUUGGACUCAACGCCGGACAACUCACCGGGGACGACAGCAAUAUGUAGGCCAGGCUGAAGACCUUGCCUGAAUCGCUGAGAGGUGGUGCAUGGCGUGUGACUGU